RNAcentral lists this ribosomal RNA (440 nucleotides) under uncultured bacterium. RNAcentral describes it as "partial 16S ribosomal RNA". It matches the Rfam family "Bacterial small subunit ribosomal RNA", at positions 339 to 795 of the family's 1533-position model. The record is from RNAcentral.
CUACGGGCGGCAGCAGUAGGGAAUAUUGGACAAUGGGCGAAAGCCUGAUCCAGCAACACCGCGUGCACGAUGACGGCCUUCGGGUUGUAAAGUGCUUUUAGAGGAGAUGAGAAAGGACAGUAUCCUCUGAAUAAGCCUCGGCGAACUACGUGCCAGCGGCCGCGGUGAAACGUAGGAGGCAAGCGUUAUCCGGAUUUAUUGGGCGUAAAGCGCGUGCAGGCGGUCUAGCAAGUUGGAUGUGAAAGCUCCCGGCUCAACUGGGAGAGGUCGUUCAAUACUGUUAGACUAGAGAAUAGGAGAGGGAGGUGGAAUUCCGGGUGUAGUGGUGAAAUGCGUAGAUAUCCGGAGGAACACCAGUGGCGAAAGCGGCCUCCUGGACUAUUUCUGACGCUAAGACGCGAAAGCUAGGGUAGCAAACGGGAUUAGAUACCCUAGUAGUC